RNAcentral lists this ribosomal RNA (404 nucleotides) under uncultured bacterium. RNAcentral describes it as "partial 16S ribosomal RNA". It matches the Rfam family "Bacterial small subunit ribosomal RNA", at positions 29 to 524 of the family's 1533-position model. The record is from RNAcentral.
AUUGAACGCUGGCGGCAGGCCUAACACAUGCAAGUCGCACGAGUGGCGGAAGGGUGAGUAAUGUCUGGGAAACUUCCCGAUGGAGGGGGAUAACUACUGGAAACGGUAGCUAAUACCGCAUACCAUCGGAUGUGCCCAGAUGGGAUUAGCGUGUAGGUGAGGUAACGGCUCACCUAGGCGACGAUCCCUAGCUGGUCUGAGAGGAUGACCAGCCAUACGGGAACGGAGACACGGUCAAGACUCCUACGGGAGGCAGAAGGGGGUAAGAUUGAACAAGGGGCGCAAGCCGGAUGCAGCCAGGCCGCGGGUAUGAAGAAGGCCGUAGGGUUGUAAAGUACAUUCAGCGGGGAGGCGAUACCCGCAGAAGAAGAACCGGCGAACUCCGUGCGAGCAGCCGCGGUAUG